Molecule: ribosomal RNA, 253 nt
Filed under: uncultured bacterium
Lineage: Bacteria
Description: partial 16S ribosomal RNA
Rfam family: Bacterial small subunit ribosomal RNA
Source: RNAcentral
UACGUAGGGGGCAAGCGUUGUCCGGAGUUACUGGGCGUAAAGCGCACGCAGGCGGUCUGGUAAGUUUGGAGUGACAGUCAUCGGCUUAACUGAUGAAGUGCUUCGAAAACUGCCCGACUUGAGGGCUUCAGAGGGACACGGAAUUCCGGGUGGAGUGGUGAAAUGCGUAGAUAUCCGGAGGAACACCAAAGGCGUAGGCAGUGUCCUGGGAAGCAACUGACGCUCAUGUGCGAAAGCUAGGGGAGCGAACGGG